This 289-nucleotide RNase P RNA is filed under the name Bacteriovoracaceae bacterium. Its description in RNAcentral is "RNase P RNA component class A". It matches the Rfam family "Bacterial RNase P class A". From Rfam's summary of the family: Ribonuclease P (RNase P) is a ubiquitous endoribonuclease, found in archaea, bacteria and eukarya as well as chloroplasts and mitochondria. Its best characterised activity is the generation of mature 5'-ends of tRNAs by cleaving the 5'-leader elements of precursor-tRNAs. The record is from RNAcentral. Lineage: Bacteria; Pseudomonadati; Bdellovibrionota; Bacteriovoracia; Bacteriovoracales; Bacteriovoracaceae.
CGAGAAAGACUGGUCAUCGCUGAACUAUUCAGAGGAAAGUCCGGACACCAUAGGGCAGCAUAGCGGGUAACGCCCGUCCACCGUAAGGUGAGGACAAGUGCAACAGAAAGCAAGUACAGUUCGGCUGUAGUGAAAUCAGGUAAACUCUAUGUGGUGCAAGCUCAAAUAGGCCAACGUUUUAUCACGGUCCGUGUGAGUUGGCGGGUAGAGUGCAUGAGCCUAAGAGUAAUUUUAGGCCUAGAUGAAUGAUGACCCUUUGACAGAAUCCGGCUUAUUUCUUUCUCGGUUU